UACGUAGGGGGCAAGCGUUGUCCGGAAUCAUUGGGCGUAAAGAGCGUGUAGGCGGCUCGGCAAGUCGGGUGUGAAAGCCCUGGGCUCAACCUAGGAAGUGCACUCGAAACUGCCUCGCUGGAGUGCCGGAGAGGAAAGCGGAAUUCUCGGUGUAGAGGUGAAAUUCGUAGAUAUCAGGAGGAACACCGGUGGCGAAGGCGGGUCUCUGGGCCGAUACUGACGCUGAGGAGCGAAAGCGUGGGGAGCGAACAGG
Molecule: ribosomal RNA, 253 nt
Filed under: uncultured bacterium
Lineage: Bacteria
Description: partial 16S ribosomal RNA
Rfam family: Bacterial small subunit ribosomal RNA
Source: RNAcentral